AGAGAGAGAGAGAGAGAGAGAGAGAGAGGAGGGGGAUGACAUCGACGGUGCUGCGCGGGUCCGCCUUCCGCCGUGCCAUCCCAGCGGCGGCCGCCGCUAGGCUUUCAGGAGUAGAGGGAGUAGCGGUCGCGCUCCGGCCCUCACACAGCCGUCGGCUGCAUUCCUCUACUCGAGCUGAUUUGCCUCCCAAGUCUCCACUAGACGAGCUCUUUGAAUGCUCGUAGGGAGUUUGUCCCGAAGGAAGUGCAGAGGACAUGGAUGAUUUGUGCUGCAACAGUAGGUGGUUUUUUCGCUGGAUUAUUAAUAACAAGGAAGAUGGAUAACAAGAGAAAGAGAGAGCUCGGGAAUGUAAUUUAUGAGAACCUCGCGAAGUAGAGAGUUUAUUGAACUUUUGGACCAGAAUAUUUUUAAACAAAGCCACCAAGUCCCCUAGAUGUCAUCCACGUCAAGACUUGAAGAACACACAAAAAAUACCAAGGUGAUGAGUUGAAGAGAAAAAUAUACCGACUUGUAGACUUCUGGUACCAACAAUGUGGUUGCUUCUACACAUCCACAGUACAAAUGGACUGAUCCAUAGCCAUGAACAUAGAGGCAUUUACACUCAAUGAACACAUAGCCCAGACAAAAAUUAAGUACAUUCUUCGGUGCUCCUGGAAGCCAGAAUUUUGGUAUGCACAGAACAAACAUGAAGCGCAGAUGGUGCAGCAACAGAAGUACGUAAUGAGACUCAAUAGUUUGAUGGUGCAACAAUUGUGUGAAUGUGCAAAAUUCUUGACAUAGUGUAUUAGUCCUUUGUUCCUGCAAACACACGAAGAUCAUAGUUUUUUUUUAUUUUCAAAGAUCAAGGUGAUCAUUGGGAAUUAAAUACUGUACA
Triticum dicoccoides is the source of this 874-nucleotide long non-coding RNA. RefSeq lists it as uncharacterized. The record is from RefSeq and is a predicted model, not a curated record. The transcript has 5 exons. NCBI's taxonomy places the organism in Eukaryota, Viridiplantae, Streptophyta, Magnoliopsida, Poales, Poaceae.